UAGGAGGACCCUGAUCCAACAUCGUGGCUGAUGUGGACUCAGGGGAAGGGAAGCUUGGCUUGCUCCACCAUCCCAGGAGGCAGGUCCAUCUCUCAGGACCAUGGAUUACCAGUACAUGGUAUUCAAGAGCAGAAGGGAAGAGCUCAGGGUUGGGGCCAGCGAGGGCUCCUCAGCAUCUAACAUAAUACAGCCAACACUACCAACAAAUCGGACAAGCACGACUCAGGGGAGGCCAUCAAGGUCAGGAAUCGGACACUAAGAAGGCAGGUGACCCUGGGGCUGCGGCAAGACUCGGCGGUGGGGGAACUGCGCAUAGGGUAAGUCCACAGAUAUGAGAAAACCAGUCACAGGCUGCUGACAGCUGGCAUGGGUGUGAUGACUGGUCCAAUCAGAACCACCCAGAGCAGCAUGUUCUUUUUAAAAUGACCUUCAGAUUGCUACACAGUGUCACUCAGCUUUGUCCAGGAAGGUUAUCACAAUUUAUCUGCUGGUAGAGUUUGCCCCAAACUGUCACCAUGCACUGACUGACAUCAAACUUAAACUUCUGUGCUUCAAAAGAAAGCAGAGUGUGAUCUUCAAUACAAACAUCUAGACUCAAUGUGGAAACUGCACGUGAUCUUCAAAGAAAGUUUGGGCAUGCUUGGUGCAGUGUUGGAUUCUCCUGAAGUGCACAGCAAAGACUUUCUGUUACACCACUUGAUAUGACAUCUGAAGAUGUGAAAUGCAUCAUUCUAUUUUGAAUUCCCCUUGCCUAGAUUGUGGUAGAAAACAAAUCUAUUUGGAAUAGUUUUGUUUUUAUUAUUGAAUAUUCUCUAAAUCUAGCUUCAACCCUUAGUGAACAUGCUGAAUUAACUUCUCCCAGAAAUUACAUUUUACUUUUUUACAAAAAUUA
This is a long non-coding RNA of Nannospalax galili (Upper Galilee mountains blind mole rat), 892 nucleotides long. RefSeq lists it as uncharacterized. The record is from RefSeq and is a predicted model, not a curated record. The transcript is spliced from 3 exons. NCBI's taxonomy places the organism in Eukaryota, Metazoa, Chordata, Mammalia, Rodentia, Spalacidae.